CGGUGAAAGUUUAUGCAUUUACAUCGGUUGAUGUAUUGCACGUUCUUUCGCCAUC
RNAcentral lists this microRNA precursor (55 nucleotides) under Echinococcus granulosus. RNAcentral's name for it is "Egr-Mir-92-o134_pre stem-loop". The record is from RNAcentral. Lineage: Eukaryota; Metazoa; Platyhelminthes; Cestoda; Cyclophyllidea; Taeniidae. RNAcentral also lists the same sequence under 1 other name.